This 68-nucleotide transfer RNA is filed under the name Hemipodia simplex. RNAcentral's name for it is "tRNA-Ser". The record is from RNAcentral. Lineage: Eukaryota; Metazoa; Annelida; Polychaeta; Phyllodocida; Glyceridae.
GGUUUAUUGUUGCGGUCAACAAGUGAUUUUGAAAGUCACUAUUAGAUGUUCAACUCAUCUAUAAACCU